This 878-nucleotide ribosomal RNA is filed under the name uncultured bacterium. Its description in RNAcentral is "bacterial SSU rRNA". It matches the Rfam family "Bacterial small subunit ribosomal RNA", at positions 28 to 896 of the family's 1533-position model. The record is from RNAcentral.
AUUGAACGCUGGCGGAAUGCUUUACACAUGCAAGUCGAACGGCAGCACGGAGAGCUUGCUCUCUGGUGGCGAGUGGCGAACGGGUGAGUAAUAUAUCGGAACGUGUCCAAUAAUGGGGGAUAACGAGUCGAAAGAUUCGCUAAUACCGCAUACGCCCUACGGGGGAAAGCAGGGGAUCGUAAGACCUUGCGUUAAUGGAGCGGCCGAUAUCUGAUUAGCUUGUUGGUGAGGUAAAGGCUCACCAAGGCGACGAUCAGUAGCUGGUUUGAGAGAACGACCAGCCACACUGGAACUGAGACACGGUCCAGACUCCUACGGGAGGCAGCAGUGGGGAAUUUUGGACAAUGGGGGCAACCCUGAUCCAGCCAUUCCGCGUGAGUGAAGAAGGCCUUCGGGUUGUAAAGCUCUUUCGCAAGGGAAGAAAACUUAUGAUCGAAUAAAUCAUGAGGUUGACGGUACCUUGAUAAGAAGCACCGGCUAACUACGUGCCAGCAGCCGCGGUAAUACGUAGGGUGCGAGCGUUAAUCGGAAUUACUGGGCGUAAAGCGUGCGCAGGCGGUUUUGUAAGUCGGAUGUGAAAUCCCCGGGCUCAACCUGGGAACUGCGUUCGAAACUGCAAGGCUAGAGUGUGUCAGAGGGGGGUAGAAUUCCACGUGUAGCAGUGAAAUGCGUAGAGAUGUGGAGGAAUACCAAUGGCGAAGGCAGCCCCCUGGGAUAACACUGACGCUCAUGCACGAAAGCGUGGGGAGCAAACAGGAUUAGAUACCCUGGUAGUCCACGCCCUAAACGAUGUCAACUAGUUGUUGGUAGAGUAAAAUCUAUGAGUAACGUAGCUAACGCGUGAAGUUGACCGCCUGGGGAGUACGGUCGCAAGAUUA